AUGAGCCGCCCGGACGACGGACAUAGGUCUUUCUUCCCUGUGGGAAACCCCUUCCGGGUCAUCCUCCCAGGGGGACCUCACCUGCCUCGGAAGCUCCAGGCGCUGCUCAAGUCAUACGAGGAUGCCCUGGCCUUGAGCUUGAGGAAGCUAAAGCCGGAGAAUCCCUUGGAGGUCCUCACCUUGUCCUGGAUGAGGCUUGCCGUGGAUUGCUUGUCAGAGCUGCAUGCCAACAUAGGCACCCUGAUAACCGAGCUCGAGCUGCCUGUCUCGGAUUGGGAUGAGAAGUGGGUGGACAUUUACUUGAACAGCAGCGUUAAGCUGCUGGACAUCUGCAUCGUGCUGAGCUCGGAGCUCGCUCGGUUGGAUCAAGGGCAGUUGCUUGUCAAGUAUGUCCUGCAUGUGUUGGACACCAAAAGCGGUGUGCUGUCAUUGGAGCAGCUCAAGCGAGCUGAGGUAUCACUUAAGGAGUGGAUGGACAAGGUGGACACAGCGCGCCCAAGACUCGACAGCUGCUCAACGGCCUUGCAGGAACUUGCUGGGAGCCUUUGUCUGAUGAAGGUCAAGAAUUCUGCUAAGGGGAAGGUCCUCAUGAGAGCUUUGUAUGGAAUAGAGUCUGUGACAGUCUUUACCUGCAGCGUCUUUGUGGCUGCACUGUCAGGCAGUCCCAAUCCAUUGGUGGAGUUGCAUGUCCCUCAGAAAUUUGGUUGGGCACAGGCCUUCAAUGAGCUUCAUGCUACCAUCAGUGGGGAAGUCAAAAGGCAAUUAUCCAGGGGAAGUGUUUCAGCUGUAAAAGAGCUGGAAGAAGUCGAAGCAUGUGCCAGGAAACUGCAUGCGUUGACUAGGACUGCUCAGCUUGAAGAAGAAAAUGACAACCUGGUUUGUGCUGUGAGCCUUUCAAAGCAAAUGGUGAUGCCGGACAUCACUGAACAGAAAGAAAAACCCGAGUGUAAUCUUAAGUCGGCUGAUGACAGUAGCCAGGAAUGUGAAGUGAUCAUGACAGAGAUUGGUACUGAAGAAGGAACACAAGAAGCUGAAAUUAUGCAGGAUACCCACUGUGAGAGUAAGCUGAGCACGCUUGAGAGUAUCAGUGAAGAUGACAAGAUGAUAAGUGGGGCAAAUGGCUUCAUCGACGAGAAUAUGACCAUCGUUCCUGAGAGAACCAGCAUCUCGGAAGGUAGAGAAGAGCUGCUGGACUGUAUCUCCAGCAUGUCAAAAAGCGCCGAGGGGCUUUGGCUCGGGUUGGAUUCGUUGUCCAAACGAGUCGGGGACUUCUUCCAGAUCGUGCUUACAGGACGUGACGCGUUGCUCUGCAACCUAAGGAUGUCAGAUGCAGCAAGCAAGGUCACCGAGGUUAGGUCUUGA
This 1362-nucleotide ribosomal RNA is filed under the name Triticum aestivum (bread wheat). RNAcentral describes it as "partial small subunit ribosomal RNA". Lineage: Eukaryota; Viridiplantae; Streptophyta; Magnoliopsida; Poales; Poaceae. The record is from RNAcentral.